AGCCCGAAGACUUCACUGUAGGGCUGAAACGGCGUCGAUUUGGGGUCCACCGCCUCGGUACGUGUCCCGAUCACGUCUCCGUAUAAGUUCUUGGCGAGGUUCUGGUCCAGGGAGUCCAGAUCAAACUGGAGGUACUCCGCCGGUUUACCUAAACCGAAAGGGUCGAACCCGUAGUCUCCGACCAGCGAACCGUCGAGAUACUCAGGGGAUUUUGCACCUGGGAACCAUAAAGGCCGGUCUGAGAUAACCGUCUUAGCCUUUUUGGGAGCGGCUUUCUUGGUUCCGAAUCCGAACCG
Molecule: long non-coding RNA, 296 nt
Filed under: Capsella grandiflora
Lineage: Eukaryota; Viridiplantae; Streptophyta; Magnoliopsida; Brassicales; Brassicaceae
Description: long non-coding RNA (CGRA_LNC000733)
Source: RNAcentral